GCUACACGGCACAUGAUUGGUCAUUAAGAGAAAAGACUUGUUAUGUAUUUGACAAGUGAAAUAAAGGUGAUAAAAAUCUCAUAUCAAGACUUAGGCUUCUUUGAGAUAUAUAGGAGUUACAGGUAAAAGUUUGAAGGGAGGGGUGCACUUUGGUUAGAGAUUUUCAUUUGGUGCUGAACGCACCUAGUUGUAAAAAAAUGGAAUUUGAAAGUAAAAGUGCAACGGCACGGUAUAUUUUUUCUGGCAUGUUUUGUUUUGCAAGAUCUCGAACUUUCACGGCAAGAAAGUCAUAUACCCAAAAUUGAAUAUAUGAAUCAGUGACAGGGGCUCAACUUUGUAUGGAAGUCUAUGGGAAAACAUUUGGUGGUGUUUGUCCUAUAGAGUAGGUAUAGGUCUGAUUGACUGGGGUGUGAAAUGUAACAGCCAGUGGUGUACCUCAGCUAGGACUGUCAGUCCCAAUAUUCAUGAGGGAAAACACCUACAUAACCUUAUACAUGGGUGCAGACAUUUUGGACACCCAAAGUUGUGCGGGGAGAAGAAAAUGCUACACGGCACAUGAUUGGUCAUUAAGAGAAAAGACUUGUUAUGUAUUUGACAAGUGAAAUAAAGGUGAUAAAAAUCUCAUAUCAAGACUUAGGCUUCUUUGAGAUAUAUAGGAGUUACAGGUAAAAAUUUGAAGGGAGGGGUGCACUUUGGUUAGAGAUUUUCAUUUGGUGCUGAACGCACCUAGUUGUAAAAAAAUGGAAUUUGAAAGUAAAAGUGCAACGGCACGGUAUAUUUUUUCUGGCAUGUUUUGUUUUGCAAGAUCUCGAAUUUUCACGGCAAGAAAGUCAUAUACCCAAAAUUGAAUAUAUGAAUCAGUGACAGGGGCUCAACUUUGUAUGGAAGUCUAUGGGAAAACAUUUGGUGGUGUUUGUCCUAUAGAGUAGGUAUAGGUCUGAUUGACUGGGGUGUGAAAUGUAACAGCCAGUGGUGUACCUCAGCUAGGACUGUCAGUCCCAAUAUUCAUGAGGGAAAACACCUACAUAACCUUAUACAUGGGUGCAGACAUUUUGGACACCCAAAGUUGUGCGGAGAAGAAAAUGCUACACGGCACAUGAUUGGUCAUUAAGAGAAAAGACUUGUUAUGUAUUUGACAAGUGAAAUAAAGGUGAUAAAAAUCU
Molecule: long non-coding RNA, 1163 nt
Organism: Saccostrea echinata
Lineage: Eukaryota; Metazoa; Mollusca; Bivalvia; Ostreida; Ostreidae
Exons: 5
Source: RefSeq, a predicted model, not a curated record